ACCCAGAUGAAGAGUCCCAAAUAAGACGAAACACGCAUCCUGGAU
This 45-nucleotide non-coding RNA is filed under the name Schistosoma mansoni. The record is from RNAcentral. Lineage: Eukaryota; Metazoa; Platyhelminthes; Trematoda; Strigeidida; Schistosomatidae.